AACGAACGCUGGCGGCAGGCCUAACACAUGCAAGUCGAGCGAGGACUUCGGUCCUAGCGGCGGACGGGUGAGUAACGCGUGGGAACGUGCCCUUUGCUUCGGAAUAGCCCUGGGAAACUGGGAGUAAUACCGGAUGAGCCCUUUGGGGGAAAGAUUUAUCGGCGAAGGAUCGGCCCGCGUUGGAUUAGGUAGUUGGUGGGGUAAUGGCCUACCAAGCCGACGAUCCAUAGCUGGUUUGAGAGGAUGAUCAGCCACACUGGGACUGAGACACGGCCCAGACGCCUCCGGGAGGCAGCAGGGGGGAAGCUUAGACAAGGGGGGAGACCCUGAACUAGCUAUGGCGCGUGAGGGAUGAAGGCGUUAGGGUUGAAAAGCUCCUUCAGCGGGGAAGAUAAUGAGGGUAGCAGAAGAAGAAGCCCCGGCUACCUCCC
Molecule: ribosomal RNA, 431 nt
Filed under: uncultured bacterium
Lineage: Bacteria
Description: partial 16S ribosomal RNA
Rfam family: Bacterial small subunit ribosomal RNA
Source: RNAcentral